RNAcentral lists this ribosomal RNA (379 nucleotides) under uncultured eukaryote. Its description in RNAcentral is "partial 18S ribosomal RNA". It matches the Rfam family "Eukaryotic small subunit ribosomal RNA", at positions 592 to 975 of the family's 1831-position model. The record is from RNAcentral.
CAAUAGCGUAUAUUAAAGUUGUUGCGGUUAAAAAGCUCGUAGUUGGAUUUCUGCUGAGAACGACCGGUCUGCCCUUUGGGUGUGUAUCUGGCUCUUUCUUGGCAUCUUCUUGGUGAACGUUGCUGCACUUGACUGUGUGGAGCGCUACCCAGGACUUUUACUUUGAGGAAAUUAGAGUGUUUCAAGCAGGCAUACGCCUUGAAUACAUUAGCAUGGAAUAAUAAGAUAGGACCUCGGUUCUAUUUUGUUGGUUUCUAGAGCUGAGGUAAUGAUUAAUAGGGAUAGUUGGGGGCAUUCGUAUUUAACUGUCAGAGGUGAAAUUCUUGGAUUUGUUAAAGACGGACUACUGCGAANGNAUUUGCNAAGGAUGUUUNCAUUG